This 501-nucleotide ribosomal RNA is filed under the name uncultured bacterium. Its description in RNAcentral is "partial 16S ribosomal RNA". It matches the Rfam family "Bacterial small subunit ribosomal RNA", at positions 28 to 507 of the family's 1533-position model. The record is from RNAcentral.
GACGAACGCUGGCGGCGUGCUUAACACAUGCAAGUCGAACGGUGAAGCACCUUCCUUUUGGUGGGUGUGGAUGAGUGGCGAACGGGUGAGUAACACGUGAGUAACCUGCCCCCUUCUUCUGGAUAACCGCAUGAAAGUGUGGCUAAUACGGGAUAUUCUGUGCCUGCUGCAUGGUGGGUGUGGGAAAGAUGCGCUUUUGGGUGUUUUUGGUGUGGGAUGGGCUCGCGGCCUAUCAGCUUGUGGGUGGGGUGAUGGCAUACCAAGGCGGUGACGGGUAGCCGGGAUGGGAGGGUGGAGGGUCACAGUGGGAGUGGGAAACGGACCAGACUCCUAGGGGAGGCAGCAGAGGGGAAUAUUGCAAAAUGGGCGGGAGCGUGAUGGAGCGACGACGAGUGAGAGAUGGAGGCCUUCGGGUUGAAAACCUAUUGCGGGAGUGAAGAAGGACUGUCGCUUGUGGGUGGGUUGACGGUAGCUGGAUAAGAAGCGACGGCUAACUACGUG